Molecule: ribosomal RNA, 467 nt
Filed under: uncultured bacterium
Lineage: Bacteria
Description: partial 16S ribosomal RNA
Rfam family: Bacterial small subunit ribosomal RNA
Source: RNAcentral
ACGAACGCUGGCGGCGUGCUUAACACAUGCAAGUCCCACGGAAAGGCCCUGCUUUUGUGGGGUGCUCGAGUGGCGAACGGGUGAGUAACACGUGAGUAACCUGCCCUUGACUUUGGGAUAACUUCAGGAAACUGGGGCUAAUACCGGAUAGGAGCUCCUGCUGCAUGGUGGGGGUUGGAAAGUUUCGGCGGUUGGGGAUGGACUCGCGGCUUAUCAGCUUGUUGGUGGGGUAGUGGCUUACCAAGGCUUUGACGGGUAGCCGGCCUGAGAGGGUGACCGGCCACAUUGGGACUGAGAUACGGCCCAGACUCCUACGGGAGGCAGCAGUGGGGAAUAUUGCACAAUGGGCGGAAGCCUGAUGCAGCAACGCCGCGUGCGGGAUGACGGCCUUCGGGUUGUAAACCGCUUUCGCCUGUGACGAAGCGUGAGUGACGGUAAUGGGUAAAGAAGCACCGGCUAACUACGUG